UACGAAGGGGGCUAGCGUUGUUCGGAAUUACUGGGCGUAAAGGGCGCGUAGGCGGCUUAUCAAGUCAGGCGUGAAAUUCCCGGGCUCAACCUGGGGGCUGCGCUUGAUACUGAUGAGCUUGAAUGCGGGAGAGGAUAGUGGAAUUCCCAGUGUAGAGGUGAAAUUCGUAGAUAUUGGGAAGAACACCGGUGGCGAAGGCGGCUUCCUGGACCGACACUGACGCUGAGGCGCGAAAGCUAGGGGAGCAAACGGG
This 253-nucleotide ribosomal RNA is filed under the name uncultured bacterium. RNAcentral's name for it is "partial 16S ribosomal RNA". It matches the Rfam family "Bacterial small subunit ribosomal RNA", at positions 524 to 776 of the family's 1533-position model. The record is from RNAcentral.